GACGAACGCUGGCGGCGUGCUUAACACAUGCAAGUCGAACGGAAAGGCCCUGCUUUUGUGGGGUGCUCGAGUGGCGAACGGGUGAGUAACACGUGAGUAACCUGCCCUUGACUUUGGGAUAACUUCAGGGAACUGGGGCUAAUACCGGAUAGGAGCUCCUGCUGCAUGGUGGGGGUUGGAAAGUUUCGGCGGUUGGGGAUGGACUCGCGGCUUAUCAGCUUGUUGGUGGGGUAGUGGCUUACCAAGGCUUUGACGGGUAGCCGGCCUGAGAGGGUGACCGGCCACAUUGGGACUGAGAUACGGCCCAGACUCCUACGGGAGGCAGCAGUGGGGAAUAUUGCACAAUGGGCGGAAGCCUGAUGCAGCAACGCCGCGUGCGGGAUGACGGCCUUCGGGUUGUAAACCGCUUUCGCCUGUGACGAAGCGUGAGUGACGGUAAUGGGUAAAGAAGCACCAGCUAACUACGUG
This 468-nucleotide ribosomal RNA is filed under the name uncultured bacterium. RNAcentral describes it as "partial 16S ribosomal RNA". It matches the Rfam family "Bacterial small subunit ribosomal RNA", at positions 28 to 507 of the family's 1533-position model. The record is from RNAcentral.